RNAcentral lists this ribosomal RNA (497 nucleotides) under uncultured bacterium. RNAcentral describes it as "partial 16S ribosomal RNA". It matches the Rfam family "Bacterial small subunit ribosomal RNA", at positions 28 to 507 of the family's 1533-position model. The record is from RNAcentral.
GAUGAACGCUGGCGGCGUGCCUAAUACAUGCAAGUCGAGCGAACGGACGAGAAGCUUGCUUUUCUGAUGUUAGCGGCGGACGGGUGAGUAACACGUGGAUAACCUACCUAUAAGACUGGGAUAACUUCGGGAAACCGGAGCUAAUACCGGAUAAUAUUUUGAACCGCAUGGUUCAAAAGUGAAAGACGGUCUUGCUGUCACUUAUAGAUGGAUCCGCGCUGCAUUAGCUAGUUGGUAAGGUAACGGCUUACCAAGGCAACGAUGCAUAGACGACCUGAGAGGCUGAUCGCCCACACUGGAACUGAACCACGGUCCAGACUCCUGCGGGAGGCAGCAGUAGGGAAUCUUCCGCAAUGGGCGAGAGCCUGACGGAGCAACGCCGCGUGAGUGAUGAAGGUCUUCGGAUCGUAAAACUCUGUUAUUAGGGAAGAACAUAUGUGUAAGUAACUGUGCACAUCUUGACGGUACCUAAUCAGAAAGCCACGGCUAACUACGUG